ACUCCUACGGGAGGCAGCAGUGGGGAAUAUUGCACAAUGGGCGCAAGCCUGAUGCAGCAACGCCGCGUGAGCGAUGAAGGCCUUCGGUCGUAAAGCUCUGUCCUCAAGGAAGAAUAAAUGACGGUACUUGAGGAGGAAGCCCGGCUAACUACGUGCCAGCAGCCGCGGUAAUACGUAGGGGGCAAGCGUUAUCCGGAAUCACUGGGGCGUAAAGGGUGCGUAGGCGGUUUUCAAGUCAGAAGUGAAAGGCUAUGGCUCAACCAUAGUAAGCUUUUGAAACUGUUAAACUUGAGUGCAGGAGAGGAAAGUGGAAUUCCUAGUGUAGAGGUGAAAUUCGUAGAUAUUAGGAGGAACACCAGUGGCGAAGGCGACUUUCUGGACUGUAACUGACGCUGAGGCACGAAAGCGUGGGGAGCGAACAGGAUUAGAUACCCUGGUAGCACAGAG
This 447-nucleotide ribosomal RNA is filed under the name uncultured bacterium. RNAcentral's name for it is "bacterial SSU rRNA". It matches the Rfam family "Bacterial small subunit ribosomal RNA", at positions 335 to 799 of the family's 1533-position model. The record is from RNAcentral.